AUUUUUCUUAAAACACCAAUCUCCAUAGAUCUAAGAAAAAUCAAACACCAAAAUCACUUUCUUUUUAAAAUUCGCAAAGUUCAGGUCAUCUUCACACCAAACAACUUACAUAAGCAUGUAGAUCUCUUCAAUAUCGAUUAUUGAUUUAAAUAUCAUGUCGAAUGUCUGGUGAGAAGUUUCACAACAUAUUUAUCGCCACUCAUUUCUACCAGUCAUCCAUCCGCCUACCUCAAAAUGGCCCCAAAACUUACCACUUCUUCCCCUAACCAUCCUCUACAUGAACCCACAAAUAAUUUCCUUUUAUUCUUAACCAAACUUCAUAGAGCUGUUACUUUCUUUCUAAAAUUUAAAGGUUUAAGUAAUAUUCAUCCCACACAACGUACAUAGCUAUGUAAAUCUCUUCGAGAUCUAUCGAUUGAUACAAAUUACAAGCUAAAAUGCCAACAAAAAGUGUUCUAUGAACUUUCUCAGCAAAACCACUAACGACAUCAAAACACCACAAACUUCAGACACCUAACAAACAUCCUCUUUCCAUAUCUCCCAACAAAAGUUUUUUUUUUUUUGGUUACAUGUCAAAAUUGCAGUGAUGUGUUUGGAUAGAGAGUCACAGAUUCGGCGAUUACAUGAAAAAUCAAUUUUACCUACAACUUUUUCUCCAAUGCAAUUUUUGCUGCAUGUGUGGAUCGAUUUCAAUCGUGAAAGUGUGGGUCGAUUUCAUUCAGCAAGAAUCGUGACUGACUUGAGUUCAAAGCUUUGAGGACUGCUUAGGUGUGCUUGAAGAGUGUGUAUGGGUUACCUUUUGAUGUCUUAUUCAAGUAAUUCUUAUAUUAACCAUGGGUAGAUAUUAUAAAUGAUGAGAAGGCUUUCUUGAUGAAUAUGGAUUUAAGUGCUAUGUGAUGUAAAGGAAUAUCCUUUCUCUGGGUACUCUUGAGGAUCACCUGGUUGUUUGUGAAUGGGAUGUAUGGGCGACCAUUUGGUAUCUUACGUAAGUGGGUUUUAGGAUAACCUUUGGUAGGUUGCGGAUUAUUUGAAUAUGUAUUAUAUGUAAUUGUUGACUUGUAUAUUUAUGCCUCUUAAACUCUUAUUGUAAAGGUUUUUAUCUAAAUGUCAUGAAAUCAUGUUUUCAUAAAUAAAAUGUCCCCUUUUUGUGGUGUUUGCAUGGCUUC
Molecule: RNA transcript, 1166 nt
Organism: Solanum lycopersicum (tomato)
Lineage: Eukaryota; Viridiplantae; Streptophyta; Magnoliopsida; Solanales; Solanaceae
Source: RefSeq, a predicted model, not a curated record